This 468-nucleotide ribosomal RNA is filed under the name uncultured bacterium. Its description in RNAcentral is "partial 16S ribosomal RNA". It matches the Rfam family "Bacterial small subunit ribosomal RNA", at positions 28 to 507 of the family's 1533-position model. The record is from RNAcentral.
GACGAACGCUGGCGGCGUGCUUAACACGUGCAAGUCGAACGGAAAGGCCCUGCUUUUGUGGGGUGCUCGAGUGGCGAACGGGUGAGUAACACGUGAGUAACCUGCCCUUGACUUUGGGAUAACUUCAGGAAACUGGGGCUAAUACCGGAUAGGAGCUCCUGCUGCAUGGUGGGGGUUGGAAAGUUUCGGCGGUUGGGGAUGGACUCGCGGCUUAUCAGCUUGUUGGUGGGGUAGUGGCUUACCAAGGCUUUGACGGGUAGCCGGCCUGAGAGGGUGACCGGCCACAUUGGGACUGAGAUACGGCCCAGACUCCUACGGGAGGCAGCAGUGGGGAAUAUUGCACAAUGGGCGGAAGCCUGAUGCAACAACGCCGCGUGCGGGAUGGCGGCCUUCGGGUUGUAAACCGCUUUCGCCUGUGACGAAGCGUGAGUGACGGUAAUGGGUAAAGAAGCACCGGCUAACUACGUG